This is a non-coding RNA of Mastomys coucha (southern multimammate mouse), 433 nucleotides long. The record is from the annotation of a RefSeq genome assembly. NCBI's taxonomy places the organism in Eukaryota, Metazoa, Chordata, Mammalia, Rodentia, Muridae.
CAGACAAAUCACAUGUCAUGUAUAGUAGAACCUACCACCUGGUCUGAUAGCUGCAGUAGGUAGGGCUUAUUUACCCUGCCUUGACCCAACCAUGGGCUGUAGGCUCCUUAGCUGUGUGGCCUUCUGCCUCUUGGGAGUAGGCCCUUUGGAGACCGCUGUUUUCCAGACUCCAAAGUAUCAUGUCACACAGGUGGGAAAUGAAGUGUCUUUCAAGUGUGAGCAAAAUCUGGGACAUGAUACUAUGUACUGGUACAAGCAAGACUCCAAGCAAUCGCUGAAGAUUAUGUUUAGCUACAAUAAUAAGCAGCUCAUUGUAAAUGAAACGGUUCCAAGUCGCUUCUCACCUCAGUCUUCAGAUAAAGCUCAUUUGAGUCUUCGUAUCAAGUCUGUAGAGCUGGAUGACUCUGCUGCUUAUCUCUGUGCCAGCAGCUAA